GACAACUUACACUUUCUACUCAAAAAAUCAAUCUACAAUCUCUAUUUGUUUCUUUGUGUUAUUGUGUGAUCUUUGAAAAUGGCGAAUUACCAGAACCAAUAUGGUGCAACGGCCCAAUCUACAAAUGAUUACGGGAACCCACUCACCAACUACACCGGAUCAGAGCCCCAAUCUACAAAUGAGUACGGGGCUACAGAUGAGUAUGGGAACCCAGUCACCACCUACACCAGAUCAGAGCCCCACUAUACAGAUGAGUAUGGGAACCCAGUACGCGAAAGGGGGAUGAUGGACAAGAUCAAGGAGAAGCUCCCAGGUACUCAUGACCCCUACUCAUCUCAUUCUCAGACAACCUACCCCACUGCACGUUACGGUGAAACCGGCUACACUGGAUUGGAGCAGCACCAUGGGAUGAUGAACAAGAUGCCAGGUACUGACCCCUACUCAUCUCAUUCUCAUACAACCGGCACCACUGCACCUUACGAUGGAACCGGCUACACCGGAACAGAGUACCGCCAGCACAAGGGCACGAUGGACAGGAUCAAGGAUAAGCUGACUGGGACUGGUGGACAUAGGGUGGAUGAUCCCUACUCAUCUCAUUCUCAUAAAACCGCCACCACCACACCUUACGGUGGCACCACCACCACAGCUUACGGUGACAGCACCACCACACCUUCACCUUACGGUGGCACCACCACCACACAUUCACCUUACGGUGGCACCACCACCACAGCUUACGGUGACACCACCACCACACCUUCAGCUUACGGUGGCACCACCACCACACCUUCAGCUUACGGUGGCACCGCCACCACCACCUACCCCCGUGAAAAGAAGGGCAUCAUGGACAAGAUCAAAGAGAAACUUCCUGGUGGACAUCAUUAUUAAUAAUAGGGUUAUGUAAGAGAUAGAUACGUUAGGUAUCGUUUUGUGUUCAAUGUUUUAGUAUGACGUGUAUAAUAAGCGGUGCUUG
Molecule: long non-coding RNA, 970 nt
Filed under: Prunus persica (peach)
Lineage: Eukaryota; Viridiplantae; Streptophyta; Magnoliopsida; Rosales; Rosaceae
Description: long non-coding RNA (PPER_LNC007441)
Source: RNAcentral